CGCCUGACCUCAACCCAGUUGAAAUGGUUUGGGAUGAGUUAGACCGCAGAGUGAAGGAAAAGAAGCCAACAAGUGCUCAGCAUAUGUGGGAACUCCUUCAAGACUGUGGAAAAGCAUUCCAGGUUUCGGCACCCAGGGGAAACAAUCCCACCACUGGGGAAGAGGUGGUGGGAAAUGAUCAGGAGGAGGCACAAGAACCUGAGCAUGAGGAGGCCGGACACCAUAGACAGGGGGAGAGCGGAGUGUGCCACACGUCCGAUGAUGGACACCUUCUUUACUUCUUCUGAGAAGCACUUGGAGGAGAUUGGGUUGAGGGAGAAACCCAGACAAUUAUAUAACUGCGAUGAUUCUGGGUUUUGUAGCGACCAGGCACAAAGCGCUGGCUCCCCGGGGUGCAAAACACGUGUACCAGCAGGCUCCAGGGACCAAGGAGCACAUCACAGUGCUGGCCUGCUUCAACGCAGCUGGGGAGGAUGUCCCCCUGUUUAUCAUCUACCCCAAGUGUUUCCCCGGUGGCCACUACACACUGGGAGCCCCCCCCCUAAGCUUUGUAUGGACAGUCAAACAGUGGCUACAUUGACAGGGACCUGUUCAGGAAGUGGUUUCAGCACUUUAUUCAUUAUGCAGUGAAGGAGCGCCCUCUCUUUCUCUUCAAUGGACACAAGCCACAUGGACCUGGAGGUGCUCGUGGCGGCACUAAGGGAAGGGGUUAUACUUCUUUGUCUUCCACCACACUGCACCUAUGUCCUGCAGCUGCUGGACGUGGCAUACUUUGGCCCUUUAAAGGCUGAGUUCUCCAAGGUAGCUGGAGACCUCAGCCAUUUUGACCACUCCUACAUUGUAAACAAAUCAGAAUUUGCCAGAGUAUUCCAGAUGAGACCAUUGACUCCAUCGCCUCUGCUGAACCUCCUGCUGGAACCAUUCCUGACAGCUGCAUCGCCAGUGCCUCCCAGUGUCCAACACCUGUAAGAGCAUCCGUAGCCCCCAGCUGCAGAUAAAAGGCCAGAAAAAAUGCAACGUGCCUACACUCCCUGCCACACCAAUACAAACACCAGCCUCCAAACCAUCGUCGGCAGUGUCGCCCACGACCACCAUGAUGCACCCCCCCCAUCUGUCACCA
RNAcentral lists this long non-coding RNA (1120 nucleotides) under Salmo salar (Atlantic salmon). RNAcentral describes it as "lncRNA (ENSSSAG00000095422.1)". The record is from RNAcentral. Lineage: Eukaryota; Metazoa; Chordata; Actinopteri; Salmoniformes; Salmonidae.